RNAcentral lists this ribosomal RNA (512 nucleotides) under Mimophantia maritima. RNAcentral's name for it is "partial 16S ribosomal RNA". The record is from RNAcentral. Lineage: Eukaryota; Metazoa; Arthropoda; Insecta; Hemiptera; Flatidae.
UGCCUGUUUAACAAAAACAUGUCUUUUAGUUUUUAUUUAAAGUCUAACCUGCUCAAUGAUUUAUUUAAAUAGCCGCAGUAUAUUGACUGUGCGAAGGUAGCAUAAUAAUUAGUCUUUUAAUUGAGGUCUGGUAUGAAUGGUUGGACAAGGAAAUUACUUUAUUUUUUUAAUUUUUGUUGAAUUUUAGAUUUUGGUUAAAAUUCCAAAAUUUUUAAAAGGGACGAUAAGACCCUAUAGAUCUUUAUAAUUCUUAUUUUUUUGUUUUUUUUGUUGUUUUAAGAUUAUUUAUUUAUGAUUUAUUUAGUUGGGGUGAUUAAUAAAAAUUUUAUCUUUAUUUAUUUUUUACAUUUUUUUUUGGUUAUUUGAUCUUAAAUUUUGGAUUAUAAGAAAAAGAUACCUUAGGGAUAACAGCAUAAUAAUUCUGGAGAGUUCUAAUCGAUAGACUUGUUUGUGACCUCGAUGUUGGAUUAAAAUUUAUUUGUGGGGUAGUUUUUACAAUUUUAGGUCUGUUC